UACGUAUGUACGUACCAUUGUGUGCUGA
Molecule: small RNA, 28 nt
Filed under: Bombyx mori (domestic silkworm)
Lineage: Eukaryota; Metazoa; Arthropoda; Insecta; Lepidoptera; Bombycidae
Description: ovarian small RNA-21160
Source: RNAcentral